UACGGAGGGUGCGAGCGUUGUCCGGAAUCACUGGGCGUAAAGGGCGCGUAGGUGGCCCGAUGAGUCAACGGUGAAAGCUCGGCGCUUAACGCCGAGUCGGCCGUCGAUACUGUCGGGCUGGAGCACUGUAGAGGCAGGUGGAAUUCCGGGUGUAGCGGUGGAAUGCGUAGAGAUCCGGAAGAACACCGGUGGCGAAGGCGGCCUGCUGGGCAGUUGCUGACACUGAGGCGCGACAGCGUGGGGAGCAAACAGG
Molecule: ribosomal RNA, 253 nt
Filed under: uncultured bacterium
Lineage: Bacteria
Description: partial 16S ribosomal RNA
Rfam family: Bacterial small subunit ribosomal RNA
Source: RNAcentral